This 491-nucleotide ribosomal RNA is filed under the name uncultured bacterium. RNAcentral describes it as "bacterial SSU rRNA". It matches the Rfam family "Bacterial small subunit ribosomal RNA", at positions 15 to 518 of the family's 1533-position model. The record is from RNAcentral.
GAUCAUGGCUCAGGACGAACGCUGGCGGCGUGCUUCAUACAUGCAAGUCGAACGUGAAGCUGACUUCGGUCAGUGGAAAGUGGCGGACGGGUGAGUAACACGUAGGAAACCUGCCUUUAGUGCGGGGGACAACAGAGGGAAACUUCUGCUAAUACCCCCAUAUGAGCGUAGCUGAAAUGCUAUUCUUGAAAAACUCCGGUGCCUAAAGAUGGGCCUGCGUCUGAUUAGCUUGUUGGCGGUGUAAUGGACCACCAAGGCGACGAUCAGUAGCUGGUUUGAGAGGAUGAUCAGCCACAAUGGGACUGAGACACGGCCCAUACUCCUACGGGAGGCAGCAGUAGGGAAUUUUGCGCAAUGGGACGAAAGCCUGACGCAGCAACGCCGCGUGAACGUAGAACGCCCGUUCGGGGUAGUAAAGUUCUGUCAGGAGGGGACGUAAUUUUGACGGUACCCUCAGAGGAAGCACCGGCUAACUCCGUGCCAGCCGCGGC